GCUUAACAUGCAGUCGACGAUGAAGCCCAGCUUGCUGGGUGGAUUAGUGGCGAACGGGUGAGUAACACGUGAGUAACCUGCCCUUAACUCUGGGAUAAGCCUGGGAAACUGGGUCUAAUACCGGAUAGGAGCGUCCACCGCAGGGUGGGUGUUGGAAAGAUUUAUCGGUUUUGGAUGGACUCGCGGCCUAUCAGCUUGUUGGUGAGGUAAUGGCUCACCAAGGCGACCACGGGUAGCCGGCCUGAGAGGGUGACCGGCCACACUGGGACUGAGACACGGCCCAGACUCCUACGGGAGGCAGCAGUGGGGAAUAUUGCACAAUGGGCGCAAGCCUGAUGCAGCGACGCCGCGUGAGGGAUGACGGCCUUCGGGUUGUAAACCUCUUUCAGUAGGGAAGAAGCGAAAGUGACGGUACCUGCAGAAGAAGCACCGGCUAACUACGUGCCAGC
Molecule: ribosomal RNA, 449 nt
Filed under: uncultured bacterium
Lineage: Bacteria
Description: bacterial SSU rRNA
Rfam family: Bacterial small subunit ribosomal RNA
Source: RNAcentral